AAUGAACGCUGGCGGCGUGCUUAACACAUGCAAGUCGAACGAGAAAGGGAUUGCUUGCAAUCCUGAGUAGAGUGGCGCACGGGUGAGUAACACGUAGAUAAUCUACCUUCAAGCUUGGAAUAACUAUUCGAAAGGGUAGCUAAUACCAAAUGAAGUAAAUUAGCAAAAGUUGAUUUAUGAAAGUUUGCCUCUAUUUAUAAGCAAACACUUGGAGAUGAGUCUGCGGACCAUUAGUUUGUUGGUGAGGUAAAGGCCUACCAAGACUGCGAUGGUUAGCUGGUCUGAGAGGAUGAUCAGUCACACUGGAACUGGAACACGGUCCAG
Molecule: ribosomal RNA, 324 nt
Filed under: uncultured Desulfobacter sp.
Lineage: Bacteria; Pseudomonadati; Thermodesulfobacteriota; Desulfobacteria; Desulfobacterales; Desulfobacteraceae
Description: bacterial SSU rRNA
Rfam family: Bacterial small subunit ribosomal RNA
Source: RNAcentral